Molecule: long non-coding RNA, 1274 nt
Organism: Meriones unguiculatus (Mongolian gerbil)
Lineage: Eukaryota; Metazoa; Chordata; Mammalia; Rodentia; Muridae
Exons: 3
Source: RefSeq, a predicted model, not a curated record
UUCAUUCUCUCCUCUAUGCUAUUACCUUUGGCUCCCUACGGCAUCGUUUACCAGUCUUCUAGCUGCAAGCGUGAGCCUUCCGUACAGUUGGACCCGCUACCUUGCCUGCUUUCACAGAGAAAGAAGUGACAACAAGAGAAAAGAAAACAAGGAUUUCCUCCCCUGGCUUUGUACAACGUGCUUGUGUUUCUCAUCCUUCUAUUCAGAAAGAUGGGUUUAUCUCAAGGUUUUAGAAGUCCAUUGUACCACAGAAAUGUCACUGUAAUCGGCCCUGAAGCACUAAGGGAGAAAAAAGGGCACCAUCCCGAGGAUUAGCAUCCGCUGGGUAGGCCUACUGUGGUCAGUCCACUGAAAGAAAGCUGUACUUCCCCCCUUGAGUUUGGUGGCAUAUGAUUGCUGAAGUUUCGCGGUGUGACUUGUUCUUCUGUCAAAGCCCAGAUAUGAAGCUUGAGGAAACCGACAGAACUUGGACUUCUCGUCUCCUGAGACUUCUCCUCCCAACCUACCUACGUUUCAUCAGAUAGAUGGGUUUACUCCACAUAGGCCAGAUCCAGAAAGUCCUACACACAGUACCAGGCUCUGGACAUACCCAGAACCUGUGCUCGCAAGUUCUUCCCCUAGUUUUCCAUGUCAGACCAACUGGAAGCUCCUUCACGCUAGGGUAGAGAUUGUAGCUAUGUGGAGAAAGGUGCAAAAAUCUAGCAGAAUGACGAAUAGACUGACACCAGCAAUCAAGCAACUCCUUCAACUUACUGUAGGAUUUCCAGCUGAACUGGCGUCCAUGUGAGAAAUUAGUGAGGAUCUAAAACAGAAGCUGCCAACCCAUUUGAAACAACCUUGUUAGAAGAGCCAAGGGGCUGCUGAGAGAAGAGAUUUUUGAAGACCAAGUCAGGGUUUCUUGGUGUGGCUCUGGCUGUCCUGCAACUCACUCUACAGACCAGGCCGGCCCUGAACUCAGAGAUCUGCCUCACAAAUGCUGGGAUUAAAGGUUACAGCCAUGGGGAAAAGAAGAUCAAUAGGCAUGGUGGCACACACCUGUAAUUCCAGCCCUCAGGAAGACAGAGGCAGGCAUAUGACUCAAAGUUUGAGGCCAGCCUGGUCUACAAAGGAAGUCCAGAACAGCCAAAGCACUACAGAGAAACCCUGAUUCAAAAACCAAGAAGAAGAAGAAGAAGAAGAAGAAGAAGAAGAAGAAGAAGAAGAAGAAGAAGAAGGAAGAGGAAGAGGAAGAAGAAGAAGGAAGAGGAAAGAAGAAGAAGGAAGAGGAAGAGGAA